CCUGGAAGGAGGAGAGAUGACUAGAAAUGAUUGGGUUGAGCGUUUUGUGUGGAUUAAUGUUUAUAUCCCAGGACAAAUUAGCUAGCAACAGCAAGCUAGCUAAAUAGGACAAAUUAGCUAGCAAGUGCAAGCUAACUACCUAAAUUGCCAUACAUGUUUAAUGCUUUUCGACCUGUCUCCAAAUUAAUGUCAUUAGUUAAGAGUUUGUUUUGAUAUUUUAACCUGCAUGUCGUGAUCGCGUUUGGUGUAGGGGACAAAAUAAAUGUAUGCACGAUAGCGCACGCGCGCAGCCGGUGUGGGUUCCGUGUUAAGGGCAGAAGGACACAAUGCAACUAACGUUAUACAGACAGAGUGGGAGGAGAGGGAGGCAUUCCAUCACCAUCAUAACUGUAGUUUUUGUAUCUAAAAAAAACAAGUUCUACUCGUAAUCCUAUCUAAUUCGUUAGCGAGUUUGCUCAAUUUACAUAUAGCAUGUUAUUUAGCUCACUGUUGGACGGUAGCUACUUUGGGCGAGGGAUGCAGACCGAUUCUCCUCGGACGCGGUGGUAGAAGCGUUGCUGAGAGCCAAUUGGCUAUCGAACGGCCAAUGGCGUGAGACGUGGGUCUUGAUAGAUUGGGAGGUCACCGAAAUAAUAUUUCUGUUUGUGCGGUUACAAACGGAUUACGCUUCGAACAUACCGACUGGGUCAUUGCCACAGUGCUGCAUAACAUUUUGCGCAGCUAGGCAACUAUACCGAGGCAGGUAUAUUUUGCCAGACGGUCGAAUGCGGUUGGACACAUGGAGAGAAUCAUUUUUGCAGUAUCCUCAAAACCGGCUUUUUGACACAACUGCUGAAAGCUACAGGGACAUAAACACAAAAAAUGCUGCGUGUCCACGAUAGUAGGAUUGCCAGGAUGUGGCCGUGGAGACAAAUGAGGAGAGAAACAUGGAGAAAUGAAGAGGAACGUCCCCAGAUCCACUCAACUCAUUUCAGCAGAGGCUCCUCAAAGCCAUCGAGAGGAUGCAGCCCAACCUGAUCCUCACAUUAAGGAGGAUGAAGAGACCCUCUUUGCCAUGAGCCUGUUGCCAACCCUGAAGUGGCUGCCUCAGCAAAGAAAAGCACCAAUCAAGGUUAAAAUUCGUUAGCUGCGUUUUGAUGCAGAGUUCAAUGGUAAGUUUUUUUUCUUCUCCAUUACACAGGUAGUGUCAUAAGUAUUAUGUCAGUGAAGUAAAGUAGGUCAUUUCUUACAUUAUACUCAUGUACACUAAUUGAUAUUUCAGAUCAAAGGAUUAACUUGAGGAAAAUGUAUAGCUGUUUCUGGGUUAGAAAAUAUCCUAAAACAGUUUGCAGUCUAAAUAUUUGCCUGUUCAUAUUCAUUUGAUUUAAAAUACAAAUUCCAUGAGUAAACAGCAAGAAUUACCAACUUUACCACACUGUGCCAAUAUUUAUUCCACUAACUACACUAUACAAGUAGUAUUUAGUUAUCAUGAAUAUCACAUUUUAUGGUGUUAUUAUGUAAUGCUUAUGUGUUGUUUUUCUCUUCCCUUCCAGAGAGAGUUAAUUUAGCCGACCAGCACAUUCACUUUUCAUUUUUUCAGACACACACCACUCCUCUCUGUCCCUCAGAUCUCCAGUGCCCUGCCCUUUCUCUCUUUAUGGCCAUGUCUGAAGUUCCUUACUACGUCUAGGCUUUGAGUAGUCCCUGUAUCUGUCUGCAGCUGUGCCAAAAAUACCUGCUCUUUUUGUUCUCUUACAGGCUACACAUUAAUUGUUGUAUUUUUACAUGCGCACACACACACACACACACACACACAACUCUUUCAAUAGUUUUUAUUUUUUGUAACAGUUUUACAACACAUACCUGUCAUGUUCUUUCCUGGACUUCAAUACUUAUUAAAUUCUAAUGUUUUCAUAGUCAGUUUAAUUUGUUUAUUAAUAUCUCAUUUAGACUUAAUCUGCUUAUUUCUUCCCUACACCUUUUGCAGAUCUAACACAAGAUUAAAGUAAAAACACAUUUGCUUCCUAAUUAGUUUUUUCUCCACCUGCAUUUUGUCAGAGCAGUGAAUAUGUUGGUAAACUGUACUAUUUGUAUGGACCCAAGGUUAACUUUUCCCAUUAUCAUACUAACUGUAUGUCGUAUAACCUUAGAGGUCCUGCUCAUCUGAUGUACCAUGCCAGGUGUGUAUAAUACUGAUGUUAAUGGGAGAGGGAAGGGGUUAAGGUGUGGUCUUUACUCCCAAAUUUCACUUAAAUAUAACUUCCAAAUGAAGAGAAACAAUGAGACUUAAAGUAAUCUGGGGGAAAAAUGCAAUUUCAUGGACAGCGGUGGAUGGUUCUUAAAAUAACCUUGGUGUUAGGGGGUUCUUCAAAGAGCUGUUUCACUCCACGGCAUAUUGUCAUGGGACUUCACCUGCUGGUGAUGAAGUAGGUGGUCAGCUUCUCCCUCACCUGGAGUGCCUGUCUGGGGGUGUUGUUGGCACAUGCCCUGGUGACAUCAGGUAGGUGACCAUUUGGCGUGCCCGUCUCCACCCAGAGCGGCUCCUGGAAUGACCUCUGCAGGUAGUUGUGGAGAACACACGUGGUCUUUACGCAGGCAUCAACAUUUGAGGGGCUGAGACCAAGCACUCCCCGAUACAUUCUCCACCAGGCUGCCAGAAUCCCAAAGGUGCAUUCAACAACUAACCUUUACCUGGAUAGUCGUUUGUUAAAGAUCCUUGCAGACUUUGGCAAUGGCAGCUGGCUGUCCAGCUUGAAAUUCCACCCACAUAUUCUACCUACUCAUAUACCUACCUCAUUAGUUUAUGCUCAGCUAAUUAUAUUGUAAGAGUCAUCAACCAUCAUUUAAAAAUGCCUUGGAGCAGUACAAUUCAGUCUAUGGCUGUAUCAAACUGUAGCCCAGACCAACUCUACUCUUAGAAGAAAAGGUGCUAUCUAGAACCUAAAAGGGUUCUCUGGUUGUCCCCAUAGGAGAACCCUUUGAAGAAACUUUUUGGUUCCAUCUAUAACAUUUUCCCCAAAGGGUUCUACCUGGAACCAAAAAGGAUUAUCCUAUGGGGAAAGCAGGACACUUUUGGAACCCUUUUUUCUCAGAGUGUAAGUAAUUCCAAUAAGAAUUGAAUGAAUUACUGUCUUGAACAACAAGGGGUCCUGGAGAAGACUAGCCCACCUUCAACUUUAUUUUCAUUUGGUAACAUUGCAUCAUUAAAUUAUUUUAAACCAACUUUGGGAAAAGUUAUAAUCCUAAUGGACAUUCUGUGAAAGUAAAUCUGUCACAUAUGGGCUAUUAACUGGAGCCCUUUAGCUAGCUAGGUUUCACAUAAAAUAUAUCUAAUAUAAAUCAAUUACGGUAUCAAAGCCAUUAAAAAUGUACUCAAAUGUCGCUUACCGGAGACAAAUCGCCAGGCGUUUAACUGGGCUGAUGGACUCCCAGUAGUUGGUAUCCAUCCGGGCGAUCCUGGCUCCAACCAUCGAAAGUAACUUCGAAAUUCUUCUCCAAACAGUUGAAGAUCUUGAAUUAGACGGUGGAACUCCCCUCCAUGCUUUCGGGACUUCAACCAUCUCUAGACCCACACAGACCUGCGCUUUCGGCAGGGCUGGUCCCUUACACCCGCCCAACAGCGCGACCAAGACCACCUUCAUCACCGUUUGGUGUCAUUGUUGAAAGAGCCUACUCUCUGCUAUCUUGACUAUUAUUGCAUUUCGCUCCAAAACUGCAUUUUGGAGGGAAAUUAUAUUAUAGGCUCGCACAAUUAAUUUUUAGAUGUCAUCGAAUAAAUAUGUAUGCUAGUUGGC
This is a long non-coding RNA of Oncorhynchus tshawytscha (Chinook salmon), 3773 nucleotides long. The record is from Ensembl. Lineage: Eukaryota; Metazoa; Chordata; Actinopteri; Salmoniformes; Salmonidae.